AUCACACUUUAGGGGUGUCUACUAACAAAGUAGGCUGAGAUUUUACCCUCUGAACCUGAUCUAGUUCAUACUAGCGUAGGGAAAAGUAAGAUGACUUCU
Flavobacterium hercynium is the source of this 99-nucleotide non-coding RNA. NCBI's taxonomy places the organism in Bacteria, Pseudomonadati, Bacteroidota, Flavobacteriia, Flavobacteriales, Flavobacteriaceae. The record is from Rfam.